Molecule: long non-coding RNA, 7885 nt
Filed under: Lactuca sativa (garden lettuce)
Lineage: Eukaryota; Viridiplantae; Streptophyta; Magnoliopsida; Asterales; Asteraceae
Description: long non-coding RNA (LSAT_LNC006163)
Source: RNAcentral
AUGGAUGUAACCCUAAUCCACCACACUAUAUAAAGGAGGUCUUGGUUCUUGAAAUCACUACUAGUUGACACAUGUUGAGGUGAGGGCCGAUUUCAAGAGAAGUGGUGACUAUUCUCUCAAAGUUCCAAGUUUGUGGUGAUUUGUGACUUUCAUUUGAGGCAUCCACACUACUGGUGCUAGGCUCUAAAACUCCAAGCAAUAAACUACAACUACAAGGUAAGUGUUUCUACUAGCUUUAUUUGAUUCAAGUUCCCCAUGCCAUGCUAGUUAGGAUAUAAGCCUUGGAAAAAUAAUUAUUUGCAUGUAUCUUAGACAAACAUAGAUCCAAGGUUUAUUAGGGUUGCAUGUACACUUAGGAAGUGUUAGAAUGCUCAAAACCCAUCAGUGGUAUCAGAGCCUAGGCUUGUUUGUUUGUUAUUUGUGCUUAAAAGUUGAAGAAAGUCGAAAAUUCUGCUGUCUGACUGAUGGACUCGGCGAGUCCAUGGGGAGGACUCGUCGAGUUCAUGUGUAUCUUCAACCUACUCGGCGAGUAGGUUUAUGCACUCGGCGAGUAGGGUCGACAGAGUGCAGAAUUUCGACUUGAGUUGCUGGAAAUGGAUUAGAAUCAUUACCCUAAAAUGUUUUGGUACUUGAAAACUUAUUUUAGAAGGUGUAAUGUCUUUUCUAACUCAUUUACAACAACUAGUUAUCAAAAUUACAAAGAUUAAAUGUGAUUUUGAUUCUUGAAAGUGUUCAUAUUCAUAUUCUUGUUCUUAUGAUGUUUAGAUGAUCAUAGGAAUUAUUUGUAACCUAUGUGGUAGAUUAAUUCAUGAUCAUAAUGUGUUUUAAUGGAGUCCAUAACUUGUCCUCAAGUUAUGGAAAACCAAAAGUCUCUUGGAUUAAAAACCAUUAAAAGAACACAAGAGUUAGGAAAAAUGAAAAGUCCUCAUUUUAUUACUCUAUUAAACUCAUAAGUUACAAGAAAUGAAAAGUUUUGAAAGUUUACAAAACUUGCCCUCAAGUUUUGGAACAAGUAAAGUUAAGUUAAAACUUUAGUUCCAACCCCUAGAAUUUUAAAAGUUAAAAUUCAACCCUUAUACUUAUAUUAUUAUGAUUUAAUAAUUAUAUAUAUAUGUAUAAGAACAAAGUCGUCUUACCGCUAGUACGCCUCAUUCACGAAGCCGGUCUAUAAGGUGGGUAUAAGGUUGUUGCCUAUAAAAUGGUGACUUAAUGGGUGUCCACUCUCACCCACCGCUUGCUUGAUCGGUGGAGGGUCGUUAGCCGAACGGGUAAGACAAGGACUUAUUAAUUCUCAUUCAAAGUAUGAUGAAUAUUAUAAAGUAACUAAAUGUUUUAUUAAAUUCCCAAUCUUAGUUACUUUAGGAAAAAUGUGAAUAAGGUGCUAUUCCAUGAAAUUACACUUUACACUUUGAUUAAGUCGUUGGUGGAGCGUGUGUGGUUAACCGGCACACUAACUUGGACUUAACAAGGUAGGUAAAGGGUGACUUAGGGUUUAUUAUAGUAUCGAUGGAGCGUGUGUGGUUAACCGGCACAUCGAUUGAGUGAUAAACUUUAAGGGUACCAAGUGAUUUGCAUGGUUACUUCACACCUCGUUUUGUGAUCCUCGGUAUCCCAGUCACAAAACUUGGAGGGCACACUCGAGAUUGAAACAUGCCUUUGAAAAGUUCAUUGAAUCUCAAAGAAUCUAGGAAUUUCUAAGAACCAUUCAAAAACCUAAUACUAAAAUAUUGCGGUUUUCGUGGUGGAAAUUGGUGAAUCGUCAUUCACCUACCUUUCAAAUAUGAUAUAGCUUAGAUUACGGCAUACCUCUUCUAAGUUAUAUUAUAUUGUGAUUGGAUCCUAGCCUUAAUAUUACAUUUGGGUGUUUUAUUAAGGACUCUCUUAUAUCUAAACUAAUCUUGUCCUCUUUCCUUCAGAUGUCUUUCAACAAUGCUUCUGGCUCUAAUCCUAAUGGCUCCUUUACCCUUAUGAACUUGUGUGGGAAAGUCACCUUUGAUGGAUCCAACUUCAAUGAGUGGAUCAGAAACAUCAGGAUGAUUACCCGCUACGAGGACAAAGAAUAUGUCCUUGACAAGGAGCUUAAGGAGAUUGAUGAGUCCACUGCAACUCCUCAGGAGAUCGCUGAAUUUCGGGCACAUGAAAGGGAUGCUACGAAAGUGGCUUGCAUCAUGAUGGCCACGAUGACAGCGGAACUCCAAAAGUCUUAUGAGGAUUUCUACCCUUAUGACAUGCACCAAGAUUUGAUGGAAAGAUACCAUCAAAGUGCAAGACAAGAGAGGUAUGAAAUCAUCUGCUCCAUGAUAACAACCAUGAUGAAGGACGGGGAAUCCGUCACGAGCCACAUGCAGAAAAUGCAAAGGUAUGUGGAUCGUUUGCUGAAGCUUAAUGUGAACUUCCCGGAGGAUCUUGCAAUAGAUAUUAUUUUGCAUUCCUUACCAUCGUGCUAUGAUCAAUUCCGCAUGACAUAUCACAUGAACAAGGAAGAAGUCACCCUCAGCAAACUUCAGGGACUUCUCAAGACCGCAGAAACAGGUCUUAAGGGGAAGUCGGUUGCUAUCACUCCUACUCAAAACUCUACUCCGGUUUUGGCAAUCGGGAAAAGUCGAGGGAGGAAGAGAAAGAGCUCUUCUAAGGGUACCAAGGCUCGGACCCUUGAUGGCUCUUCUUCAAGUGGAACCAAGAAAGGUUUCGUUACUCCUUCUUCUGACCCAAAAGAGGCUGAAUGCUUCUAUUGCCAUGAAAAAGCUCAUUGGAAGCGGAACUGCCCAAAAUACCAGCAAGAUGUGAAGGAUGGGAAAGUUAAACCCAACCAUGCAGGUAUUUACACUAUCAUUUCUAAUAACUCACCCCAUUCUAAUUCUUGGGUCCUUGAUACCGGGUGUGGUAUUCACAUUUGUUGUGACUUGCAGGGACUAAGAAGAAGUGAGGAUGUGGAGCAAGGAAGGAUAAACUUGAUCAUGGGGAAUAGGAAAGCUAUACCUGUUACCAAGAUUGGAGUUUAUACUUUAUCGCUAAGUAGUGGGUUUAGUUUAGAUUUGAAUAAGUGUUGUUAUUCGCCAGGAAUGGCAAGAAAUAUUAUUUCCUUUCAUGCUUUGUACAAACAAGGGUUUACCUUUUCAUUUAAUAAUGAAGUUGGUUCUAUAGAUGUUUUCUAUAAUAAUGUCUUUUAUUUUAAAGCAUUACCUUGUGAUGGUGUGUAUGAAGCUGUAUCUGUUGUAGAUAACUUGGGAAAUAAUGUUUUGUGUAUUGAUUCUACUAAUAAUAACUUGGAUAAAGCAUCUUUAUGGCAUUGUCGUCUUGGACAUAUAAGCAAGAAACGCAUAGGCCAACUCCAAAAGGAUGGAGUCUUGGAGUCGUUUGACCUAAAGUCAGAUGAUAGUUGCGAAUCAUGCUUACUUGGAAAAAUGACAAAGUCACCCUUCACAGGUUCGUGUGAGAGGGGUGAAGGUUUGUUGGACCUUAUACACACGGAUGUGUGUGGACCAUUCAAACAUGCCACAAGGGAUGCUAAUCGUUAUUAUUUGACUUUUACUGAUGAUUAUAGUAGAUAUGGAUAUGUCUACUUGAUCAAGCAUAAGUCAGAGACUUUCGAGAGGUUUAAGGAAUUUAAACAGGAAGUCGAGAAUCAAUUGGGCAGGAACAUUAAGAUGCUUCGAUCCGAUCGUGGUGGUGAGUAUCUUAGUUCAGAGUUCCUCGACUAUCUAAGGGAAUGUGGGAUAGUCUCACAAUUGACACCUCCCAGGACACCACAGUUGAAUGGUGUGGCUGAGAGGCGUAAUCGAACCUUGUUAGAUAUGGUUCGUUCCAUGAUGAGUCGAGCUACGCUACCAAUCUCAUUCUGGGGGUAUGCCUUAGAGACUGCCGCCCAUAUUCUUAAUCUAGUCCCUACAAAGAAAGUUGCCAAAACUCCUCACGAGAUGUGGACUGGUAAAGUACCUAAACUAGACCACAUCAAGAUUUGGGGUUGCGAGGCUUUCGUGAGACGCGAGACUCAUGAUAAGCUCGAACCUCGAAGCGAGAGGUGUAUUUUCAUCGGUUACCCACAGCGAUCCUUUGGUUACCUCUUCUACAGACCUAGUGACAAUGUGGUCUUUGUAGCAAGAAGAGGAGUCUUUCGAGAAAGAGAGUUUAUAAGCCAAGGAGACAGUGGGAGGCAAAUUGAUCUUGAAGAAAUUCAAGAAUCAAGCGGUGAAGGAACUUCAAACUCUAGCCCUCAACUUGAGGAGGAAACUCCUGUUGAGCCAAUUGACAAAUCUGUACCUCUGAGACGUUCCACGAGAGUUAGGAGUGCACCUGAGCAUUACUAUGGAUUCCAUAUUACUGCAGAAGGUGAGACACUUAUUAGUGAUGAGACACUAGUAAGUCAAGAUGACCCUAACAGCUACGAGGAAGCCAUGGCAGGCCCCGAGUCUGCUAAAUGGAAAGAGGCUAUGGAUAGCGAGAUACAAUCCAUGUAUGACAAUCAAGUUUGGAACUUGGUUGAAAAUGUACCAGGUCGUAAGACAGUAGGGUGCAAAUGGGUCUUCAAGAAGAAGACCGACAUGGAUGGUAAAGUACACACUUAUAAGGCUAGACUGGUUGCAAAGGGCUUCUCUCAAAUUCCUGGAGUGGAUUAUGAUGAGACCUUUUCUCCGGUAGCCAAGAUUAAGUCUAUUCGGGUUCUGUUAGCCAUAGCUGCAUUUCAUGACUAUGAAAUAUGGCAGAUGGAUGUCAAAACCGCUUUCCUUAAUGGAAAGUUGGCUGAAGAUGUUUACAUGAGUCAGCCAGAGGGUUUUGUCAGCAACGAGUACCCUAAUAGAGUGUGUAAGCUUGAGAAAUCCAUUUAUGGAUUGAAGCAAGCACCUCGCAGAUGGAAUCUUUGCUUUGAUGAAAAGGUCAAGGAAUUUGGCUUUUCUAGGAGUGAAGAUGAAUCUUGUGUGUAUGUCAAGGCUAGUGGGAGUAUAGUUAGCUUUUUGGUAUUGUAUGUGGAUGACAUACUACUCAUAGGAAACGACAUUCCAACCCUGCAGGAAGUAAAGUCCUGGCUUGGGAAGUGUUUCGCUAUGAAGGACCUUGGUGAAGCUGCCUAUAUUCUAGGGAUAAGAAUCUUGAGAGAUCGGAGUAAAAGACUAAUUGGACUUAGUCAGAGUACCUACUUGGAUAAGGUGCUGAAGAGAUUCAGCAUGCAGGAUUCCAAGAAAGGAGAGUUACCCAUCCAGAGUAACACCAGAUUGAGUAAGACACAAAGCCCUAGCACUGAGGCUGAGAUAGCAGAAAUGAGUCGAACACCUUACGCUUCGGCUGUAGGAUCGAUCAUGUAUGCUAUGACGUGUACUCGACCCGAUGUAGCUUUUGCCUUGAGCAUGGUUAGCAGGUAUCAGGCGAACCCUGGCAAGGCACACUGGACUGCGGUAAAGAAUAUCCUCAAGUACCUACGGAGGACUAAGGACUGGGUCCUUACCCUCGGUGGGAGUGAUGACUUGAGAGUUGUAGGGUAUAGUGAUGCUAGCUUCCAGACUGAUAGGGAUAAUUUCCGCUCUCAGUCGGGCUGGGUCUUUACCCUAAACGGAGGAGCAAUUUCUUGGAAGAGUUCCAAGCAAGAGACAGUGGCAGAUUCUACUUGUGAAUCAGAGUAUAUUGCAGCUAGCGAGGCAGCAAAGGAGGCGAUAUGGCUGAAGAACUUCAUUGGAGACCUUGGAGUUGUACCAGCUAUUAAAGAGCCAAUGGAAAUUUUCUGUGAUAGUGAAAGUGCUGUUGCCUUAGCCAAGGAACCAAGGGAUCAUGGGAGAUCCAGACACAUCGACAGAAAAUACCAUUUCAUUAGACAUCGGAUCGAAGAAGGACUCCUCGUGGCAAAGAGGGUAUCAUCGGAUGAGAACCCAGCAGAUCCCCUCACGAAGGGACUGAGUAGGGUUAAGCAUCUCCAGCAUGCUCGGAGCAUAGGGCUGAAGGAUGAUAUAAGUUUUAGUAGUUAGAUAACCCAGAAAUUUGUAAAGUGUAAUUGACAUUUGAUGAUGAAUAAAAGGUGUUUUAUUUAUGAGUAAAGUGUUGCUAUCUCUUGUCGAUCGUUUACUAUAUUUCUUUUGCAUGUUUUGACUUCCAGAAUAAUUAUGUUUGGUAUAUCAUAUUAUUCAAACCUCCACAGUCGGUCAUAUGUCGGAAGUAGGUAUGAAUCAAGACUGUCAUGAUGGGUUGCAGAGGUCUAAGGUGUUGGACAAGGCUACAACAAUCAUGAGUGCUCAUAAGUUCUGAGCAUUGGACUCAACCCACGCUCACUGGAAUCACUUCAUGGAAUUUUAUCUCGAGUGAUCGUGAGACGGUAAUAUCAUAUAAGUCUUCAAACCUAGAGAUAUGAUUUGUUACUUACGAGUUGGUUAUGCAUUGAUUGUACGAAAACGCAUUGGUAACUCGAUGUUAUAAAACGUGCUUUUGUGUGUAAUUCAAUGAGUGGUAGAACAAACAUAUGAGUCGAAGUUUAUCUGUUCCUUCUUGGAUUAGAAGCUGAUAUCUGGGCCCCUCGAUGAUUUUGUUUUGACCUAUGUACCGGGCCCGGUCAGAACUAAAUUGAUGUGUUCAGUUGAGUUCUAUGUCAAACAAAUCGGAAAUCGGGAAACAAAUGCUGGACAAUAAGCAAGACAAUGUUCCAUGUAUUUGUCCGGCUGAUAUCUAGAACAGAGGAUUAUAUGAUCACUUAUCUAAAUGGCGCGUUCUAGUUCAACAGAGUUUAAAGAGCUACGAUUGCUGAUCGGUUCCUGAAGUUAUACUUGCAAAUAUAGUUACUAGACUUAUCCAAGUGGGAGACUGUUGGAUAUAGUGUCUAAGCCCAUAACUAUAUUUGGUAUGUACUUGACCCGACCCGGCAUGGUCCAUUUGGGUUGCACUUCACCCGAACAAUUUAUGGAUAAUAUUUGAGAAUAGUACAAGUUAUGAUUUAUUAAUAUAUUAUAAGUUCUAAUAUAUUAAUAUAAGAUCAUAUUAUUUAAUUAGUAGUGAUCUAUAAUUAAUCUAGGAUUAAUUUAGUGAUCAAAGAUAUUACUAAUUAAAUAUGGGCUUCUAUAUUUAUAUAGUGUGGGCAUAUGCUUAUUUGGAAUGGGCUAGGCUUGGAUGGAGAAGUCCAUGGAUACUCCAUGGAGCUUUAACCCAUGGAUCUCAUGGAAAUGAAGAGACAUGGGUAUUAGGGUUUACAUGGAUGUAACCCUAAUCCNCACACUAUAUAAAGGAGGUCUUGGUUCUUGAAAUCACUACUAGUUGACACAUGUUGAGGUGAGGGCCGAUUUCAAGAGAAGUGGUGACUAUUCUCUCAAAGUUCCAAGUUUGUGGUGAUUUGUGACUUUCAUUUGAGGCAUCCACACUAUUGGUGCUAGGCUCUAAAACUCCAAGCAAUCAAUUACAAGUACAAGGUAAGUGUUUCUACUAGCUUUAUUUGAUUCAAGUUUCCCAUGCCAUGCUAGUUAGGAUAUAAGCCUUGGAAAAAAUAAUUAUUUGCAUGUAUCUUAGACAAACAUAGAUCCAAGGUUUAUUAGGGUUGCAUGUACACUUAGGAAGUGUUAGAAUGCUCAAAACCCUUCAGCUCUUUGGUCUUGGAAUAUACCAAGAUAUCAUCUAUGAACACAAUAACAGAUCGGUCGAGCAUUGGCCUGCAUAGCCAAUUCAUCAAAUCCAUAAAUACAGCAGGCGCAUUGGUGAGCCCAAAUGGAAUCACCACGAACUUAACGAGUCCAAAACGAGGUGUUCUCCACGUCCACCUCUAUCACUCUCACCUGAUGAUACCUAGACCUCAGAUCUAUCUUGGAGAACCAAGAUGCACCUUGUAACUGAUCAAAGAGGUCAUCAAUCUGCGGAAGUGAAUAACGGUUCUUCACUGUUAACUUGUUCAACUCUCGAUAAUCAAUGCACAUUCAGUGUG